RNAcentral lists this ribosomal RNA (433 nucleotides) under uncultured bacterium. RNAcentral's name for it is "partial 16S ribosomal RNA". It matches the Rfam family "Bacterial small subunit ribosomal RNA", at positions 29 to 507 of the family's 1533-position model. The record is from RNAcentral.
AACGAACGCUGGCGGCAUGCCUAAUACAUGCAAGUCGAACGAGACCUCCGGGUCCAGUCGCGCACGGGUUCGUAACGCGACGGAACCUGCCCUCAGGGUUGGAAUAACUCUACGAAAGGGGUGCCAACACCGGACCAUGUCUUCGGACGAAAGAUUUAUCGACUUUGGAUGGGCCCGCGUGGGAUUAGAUGGUUGGUAGGGUAAAAGACGCCCACGGCGAGGAUCCAUAGCUGGUUUCAGAGACUGAUCAGCAACACUGGGAUGGAGACACGGCCCGGACUCCUCCGGGAGGCAGCAGUGCGGAAUAUUGCACCGUGGGCGGAAGCCUGAUCCAGCUCUGCCGCGUGAGCGAUGAAGGUCUUAGGGUUGUAAUGCUCUUUUAACCGUGAUGAUAAUGACAGUACCGGGAGAAUAAGCUCCGGCUAACUACGUG